Molecule: non-coding RNA, 2286 nt
Organism: Meleagris gallopavo (turkey)
Lineage: Eukaryota; Metazoa; Chordata; Aves; Galliformes; Phasianidae
Source: RefSeq, a predicted model, not a curated record
CCAGAAGAGCAUCUUCUGGACCUGAGUUCUUUCCUGUAAGGGGAUGCUGUAUAGCUAAGUGAUCUAGUUCAUCAGUUAGGUUUAUUUUAUCGUACAAACUCUUUGCUGCCAUAAUGAGGCUUGUCAUUCUUGAAGACUAUGAUCAGGCAAGUGAAUGGGCAGCCAAAUACAUCUGCAAUCGUAUUAUCCAAUUCAAGCCCACCCAAGGAAGGUACUUCACACUUGGCCUACCGACAGGGAGUACACCUUUGGGAUGCUACAAAAAGCUGAUAGAAUAUCACAAGAAUGGAGAUCUCUCUUUCAAAUACGUGAAGACUUUCAACAUGGAUGAAUACGUAGGACUUCCCAGAAAUCAUCCAGAGAGUUAUCAUUCGUAUAUGUGGAAUAACUUCUUUAAACAUAUUGACAUAGAUCCAAAUAAUGCUCAUAUCCUUGAUGGGAAUGCUCCAGACUUACAGGUGGAAUGUGAUGCAUUUGAAAAGAAAAUUGAAGAAGCAGGAGGGAUUGAUCUGUUUGUUGGAGGCAUUGGUCCAGAUGGCCACAUUGCAUUCAAUGAACCCGGAUCGAGUUUGUCUUCAAGAACAAGAUUAAAGACUUUAGCAAUGGACACCAUUUUGGCAAAUGCUAAAUACUUUGAUGGAGACUUAUCUAAAGUACCAACUAUGGCGCUAACGGUUGGUGUGGGUACAGUGAUGGAUGCUAGAGAAGUGAUGAUUCUUAUAACAGGUGCACAUAAAGCCUUUGCAUUAUACAAAGCUAUUGAAGAAGGUGUCAAUCAUAUGUGGACAGUUUCUGCUUUCCAGCAGCACCCUCGUACUAUCUUUGUGUGUGAUGAAGAUGCUACUUUAGAACUAAGAGUUAAAACUGUGAAGUACUUUAAAGAUGGAGAAAUCAGUAUUAGUAAAACCUGGGAUUAUUUCUGAAUCUUGAUCUCCAGGUUGGAUGACUUAGUUCUUAGGAAGCUGGAUGGUUCUUGAUGACUGCUAAUUCUGGUAGCUAGUUACUACAGCUUUUUACCAUUUAAGGAAAAUCUCAAGGUUUAAUGCAUGUGCACAAUAAACUCGUGGACCCCCUGUACAGCAUGAAAGAAAACUGAAAGAAGAAUUGAAGAAGAACUGCAUGUGGGUCAACAGCAACAGUUUUAGGUAGCAGAUGAGUUCACUGCUAUGCAAUAUACUGAAAACUGUUUAAAAUGGGAAAUCCUAGGUACUGUAUUUUUUUUAAAAGGUCCAAUGUAUGUACAUUCACAUUCCAUCUCUAUUUGGUGUUGUGCAUUUUGCUUGGAUAUUUAUAACUCUGGCUGUUACAGUAACUAAAUGGAACAGAACAAACCUGUGGGAGACUGCAUGUUAUGUAGGGGUGGAGGGGGGUGGGACAGAGCACUUAUUUUAGCACAGCAAUGCAUUGCAUCUGCCUGUUAGAGGAAGUGAUAGGUUAUUUCCAAUAAUCUCUAAUUGUGGCCUCCAUUAGUGUAACUACACUUUGCAUUUGUAUUCCUAGGCAGAAUGGUUUUGGCCUUUGUUAAAUACUAUGGACUUGUAAUAGCUGUGCAAUUUCUACUAUGAAAUGUUCUGUUUACAUAAUGCACACUGAGCUUUUGCACUUGAUUGCCUUAAAUUUAUCUUAUACAAACAGUUUUUGGGCAUCUCGAGUCCUGCUGUAUAAUUCAGGCAAAUAAAAAUACAAAAAACAGUGCCUAAAAAUGCACCCAAUUCUUAAAGUGUUAUAAAUUAUUCUGGUUACUUACAUUAAAUGUCUGCCCUAGCACUUUUUCCUCUCGUGUAUUUCAAAUUACUUUAGGGUUUUUAUAUUUUUAGUAAUUGUGCUUUAUAUAGAAGGAAAAAUCUAAGUGUUCCUUUCUGUAUAUACCUGUUUAAUUGUAUUGGAUGGUGUCAUUAAAUGCCUAGAAUGAGGUUAACUUAUAGGAACGUGAAGUCUACAAAUUCAAAUGAUAGUGUAUUAAAGUCUGCUGUUAACCACUCUGUAAUAAUUACCUCUUACUGUAUCGCUAUAAAUAUUGAACUGUCACAAGGAAUGUUAUUUCCCACUUUGAAUAAGUAAAACUAAAAUCUAAAUUUACCUUUUCCAAAUUGUUUUGUUUCUGAUGUAAAGUGGAGAGAGUAAGCAUUUUGUCGUCUUCAUGUAAAGAAGAGACUAAGAACCAACUGUAGUUGUUAUUAUUUUUGUGAUCCACUGACAGAGCCUAACUUGAAGAAUUUAGUUUUUCAUUUAAACGUUAAUACCUUGUUUUGUUGCAUAGCCCUGUGCUUUAAAAAAAAAAAAAAA